Molecule: ribosomal RNA, 323 nt
Filed under: uncultured microorganism
Description: bacterial SSU rRNA
Rfam family: Bacterial small subunit ribosomal RNA
Source: RNAcentral
GAGUUUGAUCAUGGCUCAGGAUAGAACGCUGGCGGCGUGCUUAACACAUGCAAGUCGAACGAAGCGCCUUAUUUGAUUUUCUUCGGAACUGAAGAUUUGGUGACUGAGUGGCGGACGGGUGAGUAACGCGUGGGUAACCUGCCCCUGUACAGGGGGGAUAACAAUCAGAAAUGACUGCUAAUACCGCAUAAGACCACAGCACCGCAUGGUGCAGGGGUAAAAACUCCGGUGGUACAGGAUGGACCCGCGUCUGAUUAGCUGGUUGGUGAGGUAACGGCUCACCAAGGCGACGAUCAGUAGCCGGCUUGAGAGAGUGAACGGCC